AAGGUGAUAUGAACCGUUAUAACCGGCGAUACCCGAAUGGGGAAACCCAGUGUGACUCAUCACACUAUCAUUAACUGAAUCCAUAGGUUAAUGAGGCGAACCGGGGGAACUGAAACAUCUAAGUACCCCGAGGAAAAGAAAUCAACCGAGAUUCCCCCAGUAGCGGCGAGCGAACGGGGAGGAGCCCAGAGCCUGAAUCAGCAUGUGUGUUAGUGGAAGCGUCUGGAAAGGCGCGCGAUACAGGGUGACAGCCCCGUACACAAAAGCGCAUAUGCUGUGAGCUCGAUGAGUAGGGCGGGACACGUGGUAUCCUGUCUGAAUAUGGGGGGACCAUCCUCCAAGGCUAAAUACUCCUGACUGACCGAUAGUGAACCAGUACCGUGAGGGAAAGGCGAAAAGAACCCCGGCGAGGGGAGUGAAAAAGAACCUGAAACCGUGUACGUACAAGCAGUGGGAGCACAGGUUUACCUGUGUGACUGCGUACCUUUUGUAUAAUGGGUCAGCGACUUAUAUUCUGUAGCAAGGUUAACCGAAUAGGGGAGCCGGAGGGAAACCGAGUCUUAAUUGGGCGUUAAGUUGCAGGGUAUAGACCCGAAACCCGGUGAUCUAGCCAUGGGCAGGUUGAAGGUUGGGUAACACUAACUGGAGGACCGAACCGACUAAUGUUGAAAAAUUAGCGGAUGACCUGUGGCUGGGGGUGAAAGGCCAAUCAAACCGGGAGAUAGCUGGUUCUCCCCGAAAGCUAUUUAGGUAGCGCCUCGUGAAUUCAUCUCCGGGGGUAGAGCACUGUUUCGGCUAGGGGGCCAUCCCGGCUUACCAACCCGAUGCAAACUGCGAAUACCGGAGAAUGUUAUCACGGGAGACACACGGCGGGUGCUAACGUCCGUCGUGAAGAGGGAAACAACCCAGACCGCCAGCUAAGGUCCCAAAGUCAUGGUUAAGUGGGAAACGAUGUGGGAAGGCCCAGACAGCCAGGAUGUUGGCUUAGAAGCAGCCAUCAUUUAAAGAAAGCGUAAUAGCUCACUGGUCGAGUCGGCCUGCGCGGAAGAUGUAACGGGGCUAAACCAUGCACCGAAGCUGCGGCAGCGACACU
This 1093-nucleotide ribosomal RNA is filed under the name Salmonella enterica subsp. enterica serovar Minnesota. Its description in RNAcentral is "bacterial LSU rRNA". It matches the Rfam family "Bacterial large subunit ribosomal RNA", at positions 83 to 1215 of the family's 2925-position model. Lineage: Bacteria; Pseudomonadati; Pseudomonadota; Gammaproteobacteria; Enterobacterales; Enterobacteriaceae. The record is from RNAcentral.